This 73-nucleotide transfer RNA is filed under the name Stegodyphus mimosarum. It matches the Rfam family "tRNA". From Rfam's summary of the family: Transfer RNA (tRNA) molecules are approximately 80 nucleotides in length. The record is from Rfam by way of RNAcentral. Lineage: Eukaryota; Metazoa; Arthropoda; Arachnida; Araneae; Eresidae.
GCCUUCGUGGUGUAGUGGUCAGCACGCUCGACGCGUAAGCGACAGGUCCGUGGUUCAAUUCCCGGCGAAGGCG